Long non-coding RNA from Amphiprion ocellaris (clown anemonefish), 390 nucleotides. The record is from Ensembl. NCBI's taxonomy places the organism in Eukaryota, Metazoa, Chordata, Actinopteri, Pomacentridae.
AAGCUUUCGGGCUCUGUACUAGCUAGCUAAUGCAAACAAACCAGGCAGUAGGCAGGGGUUUGAUGUGUGUGUUUGUGCGGUCAUCUUUCUGCUUUCAGCUCUCCUGAUUUCCGUCGCAAAACCCGCUUUUCUUUUACGACCGUCUUUUUUCUUCUUUGGUAGCCCCACAAAAAUAUAAAACUGAAGUUGCUUUAGUAAAGCACCGUUUUCCCCAUCCCCUCCUAUUAUUCUUAUUCUUUUGAGUAUUCUUCAUUGUCAAGCCGCCAAAGUGGAGAGUGUGAUUGCAGAAGGGGGUGCUUCUCGUUUCAGGUAGUGGCUCUGUUUGUUUUUGAAACAGCAGAGAAAGCUGAAGAAAUUCAUAAAAUCGAAUUGCCUUUUAUUAAAAAAAUG